CACAGUGCAGUAAAACUUCCGCUAUACGCAGGGUCUAGGAAGGGCCCCACCACAACAAGGGUGUAUUGUAUAUAGCCUUAUCGUAUAUUUCUACCAGAGACUGUUUCCAAGGCUUGAACCCGUUACCUUUGGAUCACAUGACAACAAUUUUACCAGUUAUUCCAAGGCUCCUCUUCAGCAUUCCUCAUCGACGCCGUUGUCGCAUGAUCCCGGCCUGCCUGAAAGAGCGAGGACGGGUCCAAGGCAAUUACUUAUUAAAUAUUCCCACCCAAAAGAGAUCCUUACACACGGAUCCAACAA
Molecule: long non-coding RNA, 300 nt
Filed under: Capsicum annuum
Lineage: Eukaryota; Viridiplantae; Streptophyta; Magnoliopsida; Solanales; Solanaceae
Description: long non-coding RNA (CANN_LNC014347)
Source: RNAcentral